UACGAAGGGGGCUAGCGUUGCUCGGAAUUACUGGGCGUAAAGGGCGCGUAGGCGGCUUUGUAAGUCGGGGGUGAAAGCCUGUGGCUCAACCACAGAAUUGCCUUCGAUACUGCAUGGCUUGAGACCGGAAGAGGUAAGUGGAACUGCGAGUGUAGAGGUGAAAUUCGUAGAUAUUCGCAAGAACACCAGUGGCGAAGGCGGCUUACUGGUCCGGUUCUGACGCUGAGGCGCGAAAGCGUGGGGAGCAAACAGG
This 253-nucleotide ribosomal RNA is filed under the name uncultured bacterium. RNAcentral's name for it is "partial 16S ribosomal RNA". It matches the Rfam family "Bacterial small subunit ribosomal RNA", at positions 524 to 776 of the family's 1533-position model. The record is from RNAcentral.